AUCCCGACCCCUAAACCAUAUAUAUUCUUGAAUGGGACCAUAAAACAAAUCAAAUGAAAUUAAAAGAAGGCCCGGGGGGUCAUCCCCACCCCGUUCAAUUUGAAAAUGUGCUAUUAUCUUGUAAAGGGUCCAGAUCCCCACCCCUAAACCAUAUAUAUUCUUGUAGGGGACAAUAAUACAAAUGAAAUAAAAUAAAAUGGAAGUCCUUAGGGGGUCACCCCACCCCCUCUUGUUUGAAACUUUUUUGUAAACGGUCCAGAUCCCCACCCCUUAACCAUAAAUAUUCUUGAAUGGGACCAUAAAACAAAUCAAAUUAAAUUAAAAGGAGGUCCCCGAGGGUCAUCCCCACCCCAUUCAAUUUGAAAAUGUGCUAUUAUCUUGUAAACGGUCCAGAUCCCCACCCCUAAACCAUAUAUAUUCUUGUAGGGGACAAUAAAACAAAUGAAAUAAAUAUAAAGGGAAGUCCCUAGGGGGUCACCCCCACCCCUCUUGUUUGAAACUUGUAAACGAUCAACAUCCCCACCCCUAAACCAUACAUAUUCUUGUAUGGGACAUAAAAACAAUCACAUGAAAUUAAAUGGAAAGUUCCUGGGGUCACCCCCCCCCCGUUCAAUUGAGAAUGUACUAUUAUCUUGUAAACGGUCCAGAUCCCCACCCCUAAACCAUAUAUAUUCUUGUAGGGGACAAUAAAGCAAAUGAAAUGGAAUAAAAGGGAAGUCCAGAGGGGGUCAACCCACCCCCUUUUGUUUGAAAACUUGUAAACAGUCAACAUCCCCACCCCUAACAAUAUAUUCUUGUAGGGGACAAUAAAACAAAUGAAAUGAAAUAAAAGGGAAGUCCCUAGGGGGUCACCCCACCCCCUCUUGUUUAAAAACUUAUAAACGAUCAACAUCCCCACCCUUAAACCAUAUAUAUUCUUGUAUGGGACAAUAAAGCUAAUCAAAUGAAAUUAAAGGGAAGUGCCUGGGGUCGUCCCCACCCCGUUCAAUUUGAGAAUGUGCUAUAAUCUUGUAAAGCCAUAUAUAUUCUUGUAUGGGACAAAAAAAUCAAAUCAAAUAACAUGGGACCAUAUGAAUGGGGAGUUAUUGGAGCUUUGUUUGGGAGACUUCGUAACAGC
This 1117-nucleotide long non-coding RNA is filed under the name Mytilus galloprovincialis (Mediterranean mussel). Lineage: Eukaryota; Metazoa; Mollusca; Bivalvia; Mytilida; Mytilidae. The record is from RNAcentral.